Molecule: transfer RNA, 77 nt
Filed under: Cardiobacterium valvarum
Lineage: Bacteria; Pseudomonadati; Pseudomonadota; Gammaproteobacteria; Cardiobacteriales; Cardiobacteriaceae
Description: tRNA-Ala(ggc)
Source: RNAcentral
CCGCCUGGGGAGCGGCGUUGCGAAUCGUGGCAGCGCUGGCGAUGCUGCUGGUGGGGGUGCAAAUCAUCCUGGGCGUC